CCUACGGGUGGCAGCAGUGAGGAAUAUUGGUCAAUGGUCGAGAGUCUGAACCAGCCAAGUAGCGUGAAGGAUGACUGCCCUAUGGGUUGUAAACUUCUUUUAUGUGGGAAUAAAAUGUUCCACGUGUGGGGUUUUGUAUGUACCAUAUGAAUAAGGAUCGGCUAACUCCGUGCCAGCAGCCGCGGUAAUACGGAGGAUCCGAGCGUUAUCCGGAUUUAUUGGGUUUAAAGGGAGCGUAGGUGGAUUGUUAAGUCAGUUGUGAAAGUUCGCGGCUCAACCGUAGAAUUGCAGUGGAAACUGGCAGUCUUGAGUGCAGUAGAGGUGUGCGGAAUUCGUGGUGUAGCGGUGAAAUGCUUAGAUAUCACGAAGAACUCCGAUUGCGAAGGCAGCACACUGGACUGCAACUGACACUGAGGCUCGAAAGCGUGGGUAUCAAACAGGAUUAGAUACCCGGGUAGUC
RNAcentral lists this ribosomal RNA (460 nucleotides) under uncultured bacterium. RNAcentral describes it as "partial 16S ribosomal RNA". It matches the Rfam family "Bacterial small subunit ribosomal RNA", at positions 338 to 795 of the family's 1533-position model. The record is from RNAcentral.